Long non-coding RNA from Phacochoerus africanus (Common warthog), 3851 nucleotides. RefSeq lists it as uncharacterized. The transcript is spliced from 2 exons. NCBI's taxonomy places the organism in Eukaryota, Metazoa, Chordata, Mammalia, Artiodactyla, Suidae. The record is from RefSeq and is a predicted model, not a curated record.
UUUUAGUUGCAUGCGGAAAUAUACACAAAAUAUUUAACAUUUUUCCUAAGUGCCUGAGGCCCCCUCCAGUGCCUUCCUCGCAGGGGCUGCUUUGUCAUUCUCUUUGACUAGCCAGCCAUCUACCUUGCUCGGGCUGGAAUAAAAGAAGAAAAAAGGAAAGAAAGAAAGAAAAGGGAAAAAAGGAAGAAAACAAUUUUUAAAGAUUCAUCUUUCCAUCCAUUUCCCCUCCCUUUCGUUUCAUUUUUGGAGGCGGCGCAGGGGCCGUCUUUGCACAGGAAAAGCUCAGCUUCCAGGCAGACAGGGGAAGCGAUGAUCAUUCAGGUACAGAACUGGUAGCUGUCUGCGAAGAUGGAGGGGAGUUAUGCUUUGGAUUCCUCCGAAAUAUUGGCACAAGGCUUCAAAGGAUCCGCAGCGGGAGUGGGGCGGGGGAGAUGCGCCUCCCUGGCUCGCACCCACCCCUUCCCACUCGCCUCGACCAAGUGACAGCCUGGUGCUGGCUCGGGGUGAUUUGGCCUUGGCUUCAGCCAAGCAGCUGAUGCAGAGGAGGCCCGCGCGCAGGACUGGCAAAGUGCACACUAAAGAAGGAAGAAAAUUCGAAAAGCAGCCCUGGGGAGGGUUCUCGUUCUUAUAAAAACCUUUUUUUUUAAUUUUUUUUAUUUUUAACUAAAUAGUCUCAAAAUUUGAUCAGUCCCAGUCUUGCCCUCCACUCCCACCGACCUGCCGUUUAUUUUUUCUUUCUCGUCAAAGCAUAAACUACAGAGUUACAGUCUCUAGAUUUGGUGUACCGCUUCCUGCCCCCGCCUCCCCCUCCCCGCCCAGUUCUCAGUCCUCUAUUGAAACACCUCGCCCAGGCGAGCGCACUGCGAGCUCACAUUUCCCCCCCUUGCUCGGAAGGUGCUACAGGAGGCAGCAGCCCGGCUCCACUUCCAAUGGUAAGUUGCCUGUUGGGUAAACCUGAAGCUUUUCUGACGGAGCAUCUUCUCCAGAGCCAUGAGCGGGGUGCCCUCACACCCAUUCAAGCAGUGUUCUUGCUUGACUGAGUCUUGACCAUGGUGAACAAUGAGGACAAGCUCCGUUUUUCUCGUGAUGCAGCAUUUCACGUCUCGUUAGAAACAGCCUGGGCCCCAGAGUAUCGUUACACUUCUUUAUUUGUGUGCAAGAGUCGAUGUGAUAACUUUCUGUGACAUGUUCUGUUAUUUUUUUAGUUGUGUUGAUGUUCCUUUCAGCCAAUCCUAUAGUCCCCCCAUCUCAGGAAUGUCUCCCCAGUGACAGGACACAGACUGCAGAGACCGCUGUACUGGUGGACGCUCAAGCCAACUGUGAAGUUGAAACAAAGGAAUCAGGACUCGGUCACCUGAAGACACCUCUUCUGCUAAGCGACACACCCACAUGAUGCAGUUCAGCCAGUAGACUCUCAGAACAAGAGGCAAUCUUUGCAAGAAACAGGAACACUUGAGAAUGACUUCUAGAUUUCUGACUUCCCUUCCUCAUGUGUAUUCCUCUGUUUGUAUUUCAAUUCUGUGUGACAUUCAUCUUUAAAAAAAAAGUGUUUUCUGAUAUGACUAUGCUUAUCAACACACCCAAUUUUUAAAAUAGAAAAUUUCACACACGCUAAUGUUUUAAGGAACAAAAUUCAUGCUAUGAAUUUUAGCCACAUACAAGGUUUGACCUUAAGAGUGACUUAAACAAUAGGAUAUAAAGUUAUUUUGAAACAGCGGAGUCGUCGGAGGUAACUCAAAGGAUAGAAUAACGGUGGUAACUCAGAAUGCAGUGUGGAAAGGCACUACCCUGUGACACCACCAAUCAACCAUUCUUUCUGUCAGGCAAGCUAGGUUCUGCCUCUGCAGAGUUUAAGUUUAGUUAGGCAGAGGUACGUACACUUUUGACAAGAUAAGUAACAAAUCAAGUCAAUAGACAAUAACAGUAAAACCAAAGCAAGACAAAAGAUGUAUGAACAAGGAGCUCAGAGGUGGUCACGUUAAACUGGGCAAACUGGUCUGUUUAGGGAAGAAAGUUCGCAAAGGAGGAGGAAAUGAAUCUUAAAAGAUGUUAAAGAUUUCGAUAAAUGGAAAAAAAGGAGAAAAUCGAGUCCUUUAGAUGGAUGUGGUGUUGUGAGCGAAGUCCGGGAAGACUACAUGUAAUUUUAGGGAAUUAUGAUCACACAUGUCUAGUUGCCUUCACCCCAGACUUUCAGUGCCAGUGUGUAUGUAUGUACAUACGUGGUAAAGACUUCAUGGACACAUUGUCCCUCUCCCGCUUCAGGUGUCGCCUAGAAUCAUAAUUGUAUUUCCUCCAUUAAAGCAUGUGAGAGUGGCGACAACAGGAGGAUUUGUGAUUUUUCUCUUGGCCUGAUAACAAUGGAUGUUUAUUGAGUUCUCACUGCAUUUUGAGUAUUUUAUACAUUAACUCUCUGAAGCCUCACAACAAUCCUGCAAAAUUUAUCCCCAUUUUACACUAAGAAAACUGAGGUUUAAUGAGGUUAAGUAACUUGCCAAACCACCACAUCCAGGUGUCACAAUCAGAUUUGCCAUCGCAAAGCUCAUGAUCUACAGCACUAAGUCAAAAUACUGCGACCAACAUCACGAUAUGACCACUUCUCUAGCCCUUGAGAUUUUUCUGUGGUAAACGGUAACAAUUAUCUUCUCAAAUUUUUCAGUUUUCUGGUUAAAUUACACGAAAGUGAUGGAACGUAUUUUUAUCAUGACAGAAAUUGGGGGGGGGGGAAUGGGGUUUAUCAGCAUUUUAGGCUGCUUUGGUGGGUGUCCAGCCUUUGAUGGGACUAUUCAUUUUGGUGAGCAUGAACUCUCCACUUCUUGAGAAUGAAAAUAGAAAGUGAGGGGAGCCUAAAGGUCAUCUAUACAAUGUCCUUUUCUACAGGUGUUGUCAAUCCAUGAAGUUAGAGUGACUUACGAAAGAUCCCACAUUUGCGUGUAGCAAAGCAAGGUCCAGAAACCAUGCCCUCAGCGGCUCUUAAAUAAACAACUGCAUCCUGCCUAAAAGAAGUGUGAGCUUGAAUUUGAUCAAUGACAACAUUCCAUCUGAGUGAUCAGGGGCGGCAUGGAACCUAGUAGACUGCUCAGUUUUGCACCUCUCUGGCUUCUCACCUCAGCGUGAAAAAUAGCUAUAGCUCUGGGCUGACAUCUUUAGAUGCAGGAAUUGUCAGUGGUCCAUCCACACAGAACAUAUAAUGGCCCAAGUUAUGUGUACAGUGUCUUCAGUGAUUUGGAAUUCUCAGUUCACCUAAACAGAUCUUCUCAUGAGCAUUUCCUGAACCAAUUUUAUGCACAGUAUAUAUUUGUUAGAGCUUCCACAUCAAGAUUUAAACACGACUGUUUCGCUAGUCCUUAUGUUUUUGACGAUAUCAGUGGUUCUUUGCUAUUUUAACCUUCACUUAUCCAGGUGACUAACUCAAGAAUACUUCAGCAAUAAAAAGCUGGAAUUGAGGAAACCUUAUUCUUUACCAGCCCCUUCGCCUUCAGUUGGCAUUCAGUCAUGCCAAAUAGAGGGGUCAGCUGGAGAACUCAGAAAUUUGAAAUGCAAUUUUGUCUCAAGUCCGUUAAGCUGUGUUUACUUAAGGGCAAGCUUCUAGAUGUUUGAAAGUACCUGAAUAUUUGACUGUUGUAAAUUUCCAGUUAGAUAUCUGGCAUUGUUGCACUUGGACCUGCUGGUGGCUCAGGUCAUCCUAUUUUCAAAGUGAUCAUUGGCCAUGUGUCACACAAUUCUCAUUAAGUGAGUUCAUAGAGUUUUUUAAGUCGAGCCAAGCACAAAAUGUGACUUUGUUGACAUUUUAUGAGACUUUGUCAUAUGUCCCCUGAACCCCCCAAUAAAAGCACUGUUGCAUCAACUGUGAA